Molecule: unclassified non-coding RNA, 301 nt
Filed under: plant metagenome
Description: partial contains small subunit ribosomal RNA, internal transcribed spacer 1, and 5.8S ribosomal RNA
Source: RNAcentral
UUUCCGUAGGUGAACCUGCGGAAGGAUCAUUAUUGAAACUUGAAUCGUAGCAUUGAGAACUGUUGCUGACCUGUUAAAGGGUAUGUGCACGUUCGACGUGUUGCGUUCUGUUCAUCCACCUGUGCACCUUUGUAGACUUGAUUAACUUUCGCUCUCGAGCGGUUAGAAGGGUUGCUUUCGAGCUCCCUUUGUCUAUCAAGUCUAUGUCUAUAUAAUCUCUUGUAUGUCUAGAAUGUCUUGUUUAUGGGACGCAAGUCCUUUAAAUCUUAUACAACUUUCAACAACGGAUCUCUUGGCUCUC